This 529-nucleotide ribosomal RNA is filed under the name Escherichia coli. RNAcentral describes it as "bacterial SSU rRNA". It matches the Rfam family "Bacterial small subunit ribosomal RNA", at positions 1003 to 1532 of the family's 1533-position model. Lineage: Bacteria; Pseudomonadati; Pseudomonadota; Gammaproteobacteria; Enterobacterales; Enterobacteriaceae. The record is from RNAcentral.
GAGAUGGAUUGGUGCCUUCGGGAACUGUGAGACAGGUGCUGCAUGGCUGUCGUCAGCUCGUGUUGUGAAAUGUUGGGUUAAGUCCCGCAACGAGCGCAACCCUUAUCCUUUGUUGCCAGCGGUCCGGCCGGGAACUCAAAGGAGACUGCCAGUGAUAAACUGGAGGAAGGUGGGGAUGACGUCAAGUCAUCAUGGCCCUUACGACCAGGGCUACACACGUGCUACAAUGGCGCAUACAAAGAGAAGCGACCUCGCGAGAGCAAGCGGACCUCAUAAAGUGCGUCGUAGUCCGGAUUGGAGUCUGCAACUCGACUCCAUGAAGUCGGAAUCGCUAGUAAUCGUGGAUCAGAAUGCCACGGUGAAUACGUUCCCGGGCCUUGUACACACCGCCCGUCACACCAUGGGAGUGGGUUGCAAAAGAAGUAGGUAGCUUAACCUUCGGGAGGGCGCUUACCACUUUGUGAUUCAUGACUGGGGUGAAGUCGUAACAAGGUAACCGUAGGGGAACCUGCGGUUGGAUCACCUCCUU